This 86-nucleotide non-coding RNA is filed under the name Fragilariopsis kerguelensis. Lineage: Eukaryota; Bacillariophyta; Bacillariophyceae; Bacillariales; Bacillariaceae. The record is from RNAcentral.
AUAGAUGUGGGUCGAAAGAGAGAAAAAAAGUAAAAGGAAGAAAGAAAGAAAGAAUAGACAAAAGAUUGAAUUUUGUGUAUUAUUUU